RNAcentral lists this transfer RNA (63 nucleotides) under Listeria monocytogenes. RNAcentral describes it as "tRNA-Ile". It matches the Rfam family "tRNA", at positions 12 to 71 of the family's 71-position model. Rfam says of the family: Transfer RNA (tRNA) molecules are approximately 80 nucleotides in length. Their secondary structure includes four short double-helical elements and three loops (D, anti-codon, and T loops). Lineage: Bacteria; Bacillati; Bacillota; Bacilli; Caryophanales; Listeriaceae. The record is from RNAcentral.
UCAGCUGGUUAGAGCGCACGCCUGAUAAGCGUGAGGUCGAUGGUUCGAGUCCAUUUAGGCCCA